Molecule: ribosomal RNA, 237 nt
Filed under: uncultured bacterium
Lineage: Bacteria
Description: partial 16S ribosomal RNA
Rfam family: Bacterial small subunit ribosomal RNA
Source: RNAcentral
CGACGGGUGAGUAACACGUAUGCAAUCCACCUGUAACAGGGGGAGUAACCCGGAGAAAUCGGACUAAUACCCAUAAUAUGGGCGCUCCGCAUGGAGAGUCCAUUAAAGAGAGCAAUCUUGGUUACAGACGAGCAUGCGCUCCAUUAGCCAGUUGGCGGGGUAACGGCCCACCAAGGCGACGAUGGAUAGGGGUUCUGAGAGGAAGGUCCCCCACAUUGGAACUGAGACACGGUCCAA